Molecule: ribosomal RNA, 820 nt
Filed under: uncultured archaeon
Lineage: Archaea
Description: bacterial SSU rRNA
Rfam family: Archaeal small subunit ribosomal RNA
Source: RNAcentral
CCAUGCGAGUCGAAUGUAGCAAUACAUGGCGUACUGCUCAGUAACACGUGGACAACCUGCCCUUAGGUCGGGUAUAAACCCGGGAAACUGGGUAUAAUCCCCGAUAGGUCUCGGCUGCUGGAAUGCAUCGAGAUUAAAAGCUCCGGCGCCUAAGGAUGGGUCUGCGGCCUAUCAGGUAGUAGUGGGUGUAGUGUACCUACUAGCCUACGACGGGUACGGGUUGUGAGAGCAAGAGCCCGGAGAUGGAUUCUGAGACACGAAUCCAGGCCCUACGGGGUGCAGCAGGCGCGAAAACUUUACAAUGCUGGCAACAGCGAUAAGGGAACCUCGAGUGCCAGGUUACAAAUCUGGCUGUCGAGAUGCCUAAAAAGCAUUUCAUAGCAAGGGCCGGGCAAGACCGGUGCCAGCCGCCGCGGUAACACCGGCGGCUCGAGUGGUAACCGUUAUUAUUGGGUCUAAAGGGUCUGUAGCCGGCCGGAUAAGUCUCUUGAGAAAUCUGGCAGCUUAACUGUCAGGCUUUCAGGAGAUACUGUCUGGCUCGAGGCCGGGAGAGGUGAGAGGUACUUCAGGGGUAGGGGUGAAAUCUUGUAAUCCUUGAAGGACCACCAGUGGCGAAGGCGUCUCACCAGAACGGACCUGACGGCAAGGGACGAAAGCUAGGGGCACGAACCGGAUUAGAUACCCGGGUAGUCCUAGCCGUAAACGAUACUCGCUAGGUGUCGGCCACGGUGCGACCGUUGUCGGUGCCGUAGGGAAGCCGUGAAGCGAGCCACCUGGGAAGUACGGCCGCAAGGCUGAAACUUAAAGGAAUUGGCGGGGG